CCUUGACAUACUAAGAACUUUCCAGAGAUGGAUUGGUGCCUUCGGGAACUUAGAUACAGGUGCUGCAUGGCUGUCGUCAGCUCGUGUCGUGAGAUGUUGGGUUAAGUCCCGNAACGAGCGCAACCCUUUUCCUAUUUGUCAGCGGGUCAUGCCGGGAACUUUAAGGAUACUGCCAGUGACAAACUGGAGGAAGGCGGGGACGACGUCAAGUCAUCAUGGCCCUUACGGCCAGGGCUACACACGUGCUACAAUGGUCGGUACAAAGGGUUGCUACCUCGCGAGAGGAUGCUAAUCUCAAAAAGCCGAUCGUAGUCCGGAUCGCAGUCUGCAACUCGACUGCGUGAAGUCGGAAUCGCUAGUAAUCGCGGAUCAGAAUGCCGCGGUCGAAUACGUUCCCGGGCCUUGUACACACCGCCCGUCACACCAUGGGAGUUUGUUGCACCAGAAGUAGGUAGUCUAACCGCAAGGAGGACGCUUACCACGGUGUGGCCGAUGACUGGGGUGAAGUCGUAACAAGGUAGGCGUAGAUGA
Molecule: ribosomal RNA, 531 nt
Filed under: uncultured bacterium
Lineage: Bacteria
Description: bacterial SSU rRNA
Rfam family: Bacterial small subunit ribosomal RNA
Source: RNAcentral